Triticum aestivum (bread wheat) is the source of this 1176-nucleotide long non-coding RNA. RefSeq lists it as uncharacterized. The transcript is spliced from 3 exons. The record is from RefSeq and is a predicted model, not a curated record. NCBI's taxonomy places the organism in Eukaryota, Viridiplantae, Streptophyta, Magnoliopsida, Poales, Poaceae.
CGCGUGUGCGUGUCCUACUCCUUCCUUAUCCAGUCUCCGCUGCAUGUCUCGAUCCUUCGAUAUCACGCAUCCUUCUCUGCUUAUUAGCCGCCGGCCGCCUCAUGACACCUUCAUCUCCUUCUGCUGCCCUCGUUCGCCUUGCCGCCGGUCGAACCAUGCGACGCCGUCGACCUACUGGCUACUGCAGAGGGCACUGAUUCAAGGCACACCCAACGUCAUCUAUGAUUAGAGGAAAAAAUUCUGCAUGGACUCCGUGAAACCGAGGAGGAACUGAUCAGAUUAAAAGAGAAGUAUGAUGCCCAGUUGUAUGGAAAUAUUUCAUACAUUUAGGACUACUGUCAUGGGAAGAUUGAUGGAAAUAUUACCAAGAAAAUGAAUAUACUGCACAAUGUAUUCAUUUUCUAAGCUUACUGCAGUAUAUUCAGAACAAGGAAAAGGGCAGAUUACUGCAGUGUAUUCAGAACAAGGAAAACGGCAGUUGUCCAACUUUUCUCCACGUUAUCUAUGGUAUGGGCUCAGUUUAAGUUUGAACCCUUUUAUUUUAUAUUUUUCGUAGUUGACAGUUUGCUACUCAUCUUUGUGCACUAAGCCUUGAUGGAUAGUACAUCCACAUGUCCUCCUCUGUUUAAGUAUCUUGCUUAUAAAUCCAAACAAAUUAGUCAGUGCUGACUGUGUUAUCUUCCCAACUAUUCUGCAAUUUGCAUAUGCUGAACUGACUAAAUAUGCCUAUUUGUCCAAGGUCUGAACAACAUGUUUGAGAUUUUAAACCACAAAAAUUGUCAUUCUCUAUUUUUUAUUCACUUAAUGUACCUUAUAAGGUUUCAUGCAUAGUUUCUUUUUGUUGCAACAAAUUCUGUUUUCAACUCGACAAUUUGGAUCUCGGUACUUAUGUGUAUAAUCACUCAUGCUCUAUUCAGCCUAAUGCUUUGAGCAAAAAGAAUUGGUACUCACUUUGGCAAACAGAGAGAAAGGAAUAUGUUUUUUUUGUUGAUAUUGGAGCUCCAUCACCCACUGUCAAGUAUUGCAAGCAAGCAACUAAAGCAACUACAGUGGCCAAUAAUGCAUAUAUGAAGAUUGAUUUACAACAACAGCUCCAACAUUUGUACAUAAUCUUUCAUAUUGUGUCUCUUUCCGAAUCCCCGUUAGUGUGUUUAUAUACAUUAAUAUUCCUGCAAG